Long non-coding RNA from Bacillus rossius redtenbacheri, 722 nucleotides. RefSeq lists it as uncharacterized. The record is from RefSeq and is a predicted model, not a curated record. NCBI's taxonomy places the organism in Eukaryota, Metazoa, Arthropoda, Insecta, Phasmatodea, Bacillidae. The transcript has 3 exons.
AAUGAUACUUGUAAACAAGCAACCGUUAUCGCCGCACGAGUGCACAGGAUGAAAAUUAAAAAAUUCGAUAUCUCCAAAAGUAUUUGGAAUUUCUUAUCUCAGCCGGGUUUAAUGAAAAGAGGAAGUUUAAGAGCACAGAAUAAAGAAACUCUGGCACGACAAGAUGCUCACCCCUCCCCUCGCGGCAGGGCGAGACGCCAGUACAGAGCGACUCGCGGACCGGGACGGACGCACGUCCCACAGGAAGCCUUCAACCUUUGUCUACACUGAACUUCAUCCUGGUGUUGGGUCGGCCCAGGAUGACAAGACUCAUCACAGCGUCUCUCGUCGGUUCGAGAAGGGCGCCACAGGUUCUUAAGCAGCGGCGCUGGCCUCCACGGGAGUUCCACAAGCGAAGGGAAGUGCGACAUUGGGGAAGAGGAUGAGAGACUCCCUCGAGAGUGGCGCGACGCGGAGUGACGGGACCGCGCGAGUGCGACUGAGUGGCGCGAGACUGUAUGUGUGUGUGGACAGGCGCGAGGUGAGGGGCGAACCACUGUCGAGCCUAGCUCCAGUGAGGAGUGCGAACUGUGGAAUUUGACAGACAUUGAGUGACUUGCAAAUAAACAUUUUUAGUGCCAGUGAUUGGUGAUCAGACUUUUUUUUAAGUACAAUUGUUUAUUAGUAAUGUAAUUAUUAGUAAUUAAUAAAACUGUAAUAAAACUUAAUUGGGCUAUCCCUUA